CUCAUGGAGCUGAAGUCAGUCGAAGAUACCAGCUGGCUGCAACUGUUUAUUAAAAACACAGCACUGUGCAAACACGAAAGUGGACGUAUACGGUGUGACGCCUGCCCGGUGCCGGAAGGUUAAUUGAUGGGGUCAGCGCAAGCGAAGCUCCUGAUCGAAGCCCCGGUAAACGGCGGCCGUAACUAUAACGGUCCUAAGGUAGCGAAAUUCCUUGUCGGGUAAGUUCCGACCUGCACGAAUGGCGUAAUGAUGGCCAGGCUGUCUCCACCCGAGACUCAGUGAAAUUGAACUCGCUGUGAAGAUGCAGUGUACCCGCGGCAAGACGGAAAGACCCCGUGAACCUUUACUAUAGCUUGACACUGAACAUUGAGCCUUGAUGUGUAGGAUAGGUGGGAGGCUUUGAAGUGUGGACGCCAGUCUGCAUGGAGCCGACCUUGAAAUACCACCCUUUAAUGUUUGAUGUUCUAACGUGGACCCGUGAUCCGGGUUGCGGACAGUGUCUGGUGGGUAGUUUGACUGGGGCGGUCUCCUCCUAAAGAGUAACGGAGGAGCACGAAGGUUGGCUAAUCCUGGUCGGACAUCAGGAGGUUAGUGCAAUGGCAUAAGCCAGCUUGACUGCGAGCGUGACGGCGCGAGCAGGUGCGAAAGCAGGUCAUAGUGAUCCGGUGGUUCUGAAUGGAAGGGCCAUCGCUCAACGGAUAAAAGGUACUCCGGGGAUAACAGGCUGAUACCGCCCAAGAGUUCAUAUCGACGGCGGUGUUUGGCACCUCGAUGUCGGCUCAUCACAUCCUGGGGCUGAAGUAGGUCCCAAGGGUAUGGCUGUUCGCCAUUUAAAGUGGUACGCGAGCUGGGUUUAGAACGUCGUGAGACAGUUCGGUCCCUAUCUGCCGUGGGCGCUGGAGAACUGAGGGGGGCUGCUCCUAGUACGAGAGGACCGGAGUGGACGCAUCACUGGUGUUCGGGUUGUCAUGCCAAUGGCACUGCCCGGUAGCUAAAUGCGGAAGAGAUAAGUGCUGAAAGCAUCUAAGCACGAAACUUGCCCCGAGAUGAGUUCUCCCUGAGACUUUAGGUCUCCUGAAGGAACGUUGAAGACGACGACGUUGAUAGGCCGGGUGUGUAAGCGCAGCGAUGCGUUGAGCUAACCGGUACUAAUGAACCGUGAGGCUUAACCUUACA
This 1176-nucleotide ribosomal RNA is filed under the name Salmonella enterica. Its description in RNAcentral is "partial 23S ribosomal RNA". It matches the Rfam family "Bacterial large subunit ribosomal RNA", at positions 1761 to 2925 of the family's 2925-position model. The record is from RNAcentral. Lineage: Bacteria; Pseudomonadati; Pseudomonadota; Gammaproteobacteria; Enterobacterales; Enterobacteriaceae.